UUAAGUUAUUAAGGGCGCACGGUGGAUGCCUUGGCACUAGAAGCCGAUGAAGGACGUUACUAACGACGAUAUGCUUUGGGGAGCUGUAAGUAAGCUUUGAUCCAGAGAUUUCCGAAUGGGGAAACCCAGCAUGAGUUAUGUCAUGUUAUCGAUAUGUGAAUACAUAGCAUAUCAGAAGGCACACCCGGAGAACUGAAACAUCUUAGUACCCGGAGGAAGAGAAAGAAAAUUCGAUUCCCUUAGUAGCGGCGAGCGAAACGGGAAGAGCCCAAACCAACAAGCUUGCUUGUUGGGGUUGUAGGACACUCUAUACGGAGUUACAAAGGACGACAUUAGACGAAUCAUCUGGAAAGAUGAAUCAAAGAAGGUAAUAAUCCUGUAGUCGAAAAUGUUGUCUCUCUUGAGUGGAUCCUGAGUACGACGGAGCACGUGAAAUUCCGUCGGAAUCUGGGAGGACCAUCUCCUAAGGCUAAAUACUCUCUAGUGACCGAUAGUGAACCAGUACCGUGAGGGAAAGGUGAAAAGCACCCCGGAAGGGGAGUGAAAUAGAACCUGAAACCGUGUGCUUACAAGUAGUCAGAGCCCGUUAAUGGGUGAUGGCGUGCCUUUUGUAGAAUGAACCGGCGAGUUACGAUUUGAUGCAAGGUUAAGCAGUAAAUGUGGAGCCGUAGCGAAAGCGAGUCUGAAUAGGGCGUUUAGUAUUUGGUCGUAGACCCGAAACCAGGUGAUCUACCCUUGGUCAGGUUGAAGUUCAGGUAACACUGAAUGGAGGACCGAACCGACUUACGUUGAAAAGUGAGCGGAUGAACUGAGGGUAGCGGAGAAAUUCCAAUCGAACCUGGAGAUAGCUGGUUCUCUCCGAAAUAGCUUUAGGGCUAGCCUCAAGUGAUGAUUAUUGGAGGUAGAGCACUGUUUGGACGAGGGGCCCCUCUCGGGUUACCGAAUUCAGACAAACUCCGAAUGCCAAUUAAUUUAACUUGGGAGUCAGAACAUGGGUGAUAAGGUCCGUGUUCGAAAGGGAAACAGCCCAGACCACCAGCUAAGGUCCCAAAAUAUAUGUUAAGUGGAAAAGGAUGUGGCGUUGCCCAGACAACUAGGAUGUUGGCUUAGAAGCAGCCAUCAUUUAAAGAGUGCGUAAUAGCUCACUAGUCGAGUGACACUGCGCCGAAAAUGUACCGGGGCUAAACAUAUUACCGAAGCUGUGGAUUGUCCUUUGGACAAUGGUAGGAGAGCGUUCUAAGGGCGUUGAAGCAUGAUCGUAAGGACAUGUGGAGCGCUUAGAAGUGAGAAUGCCGGUGUGAGUAGCGAAAGACGGGUGAGAAUCCCGUCCACCGAUUGACUAAGGUUUCCAGAGGAAGGCUCGUCCGCUCUGGGUUAGUCGGGUCCUAAGCUGAGGCCGACAGGCGUAGGCGAUGGAUAACAGGUUGAUAUUCCUGUACCACCUAUAAUCGUUUUAAUCGAUGGGGGGACGCAGUAGGAUAGGCGAAGCGUGCGAUUGGAUUGCACGUCUAAGCAGUAAGGCUGAGUAUUAGGCAAAUCCGGUACUCGUUAAGGCUGAGCUGUGAUGGGGAGAAGACAUUGUGUCUUCGAGUCGUUGAUUUCACACUGCCGAGAAAAGCCUCUAGAUAGAAAAUAGGUGCCCGUACCGCAAACCGACACAGGUAGUCAAGAUGAGAAUUCUAAGGUGAGCGAGCGAACUCUCGUUAAGGAACUCGGCAAAAUGACCCCGUAACUUCGGGAGAAGGGGUGCUCUUUAGGGUUAACGCCCAGAAGAGCCGCAGUGAAUAGGCCCAAGCGACUGUUUAUCAAAAACACAGGUCUCUGCUAAACCGUAAGGUGAUGUAUAGGGGCUGACGCCUGCCCGGUGCUGGAAGGUUAAGAGGAGUGGUUAGCUUCUGCGAAGCUACGAAUCGAAGCCCCAGUAAACGGCGGCCGUAACUAUAACGGUCCUAAGGUAGCGAAAUUCCUUGUCGGGUAAGUUCCGACCCGCACGAAAGGCGUAACGAUUUGGGCACUGUCUCAACGAGAGACUCGGUGAAAUCAUAGUACCUGUGAAGAUGCAGGUUACCCGCGACAGGACGGAAAGACCCCGUGGAGCUUUACUGUAGCCUGAUAUUGAAAUUCGGCACAGCUUGUACAGGAUAGGUAGGAGCCUUUGAAACGUGAGCGCUAGCUUACGUGGAGGCGCUGGUGGGAUACUACCCUAGCUGUGUUGGCUUUCUAACCCGCACCACUUAUCGUGGUGGGAGACAGUGUCAGGCGGGCAGUUUGACUGGGGCGGUCGCCUCCUAAAAGGUAACGGAGGCGCUCAAAGGUUCCCUCAGAAUGGUUGGAAAUCAUUCAUAGAGUGUAAAGGCAUAAGGGAGCUUGACUGCGAGACCUACAAGUCGAGCAGGGUCGAAAGACGGACUUAGUGAUCCGGUGGUUCCGCAUGGAAGGGCCAUCG
This 2446-nucleotide ribosomal RNA is filed under the name Staphylococcus aureus WMCS6016. RNAcentral's name for it is "bacterial LSU rRNA". It matches the Rfam family "Bacterial large subunit ribosomal RNA", at positions 3 to 2447 of the family's 2925-position model. Lineage: Bacteria; Bacillati; Bacillota; Bacilli; Caryophanales; Staphylococcaceae. The record is from RNAcentral. RNAcentral also lists the same sequence under 3 other names.